RNAcentral lists this transfer RNA (62 nucleotides) under Tropostreptus droides. RNAcentral describes it as "tRNA-Gly". Lineage: Eukaryota; Metazoa; Arthropoda; Diplopoda; Spirostreptida; Spirostreptidae. The record is from RNAcentral.
GCUACAUGAGUAUCUACGUACAAUUGACUUCCAAUCAAUAAGAUUAAUUAUUAAAUGUAGUA